Molecule: ribosomal RNA, 440 nt
Filed under: uncultured bacterium
Lineage: Bacteria
Description: partial 16S ribosomal RNA
Rfam family: Bacterial small subunit ribosomal RNA
Source: RNAcentral
CCUACGGGAGGCAGCAGUGGGGGAUAUUGGACAAUGGGGGAAAGCCUGAUCCAGCGAUGCCGCGUGCGGGAAGAAGGUUUUCGGAUUGUAAACCGCUGUGGUGGGGGACGAUAAUGACGGUAACCUUUUAGUAAGCCACGGCUAACUACGUGCCAGCAGCCGCGGUAAUACGUAGGUGGCGAGCGUUGUCCGGAGUUACUGGGUGUAAAGGGAGUGUUGGCGGGAAGGGAAGUGAGAGGUGAAAACUAUGGGCUUAACCCAUAGCCUGUUUUUGAAACUGUUUUACUUGAGAGAAUUAGAGGCAAGCGGAAUUCCUAGUGUAGCGGUGAAAUGCGUAGAUAUUAGAAGGAACACCAAUGGCGUAGGCAGGUUGCUGGGCCGUUUCUGACGCUGAGGCUCGAAAGCGUAGGGAGCAAACAGGAUUAGAUACCCGAGUAGUC